Molecule: RNA transcript, 3177 nt
Organism: Elaeis guineensis (African oil palm)
Lineage: Eukaryota; Viridiplantae; Streptophyta; Magnoliopsida; Arecales; Arecaceae
Gene name: exocyst complex component SEC15B
Source: RefSeq, a predicted model, not a curated record
UCGAAGCAACUUGCCUCUGGCUCUCUCUCUCUCUCUCUCUCUCCGAGAGCCUAAACUAAAAUGCUAAAUCCCCUCCUCUCGGAACGGACGGACACCGUAAUUCCCAUCCCCAUGCCCAUCGUCUGACGCCCGUUGAGUGGCAGUCUGUUCCUCGGCGAGCAAGAGAGAUGCCGCGGAGGGUGGCCCCCGAUUCCUAUUCGGCCGCCGGCGGCGACGCGGAGCGGCAGGACCUCCACCAGCUCUCCUCGGCGAUCUGCAACGGCGAGGACCUGGGCCCCUUCGUCCGCAAGGCGUUCGCCUCCGGCCGGCCGGAGUCCCUCCUCCACUCCCUUCGCCACUUCGCCCGCUCCAAAGAAUCCGAGAUCGAGGAGGUCUGCAAGGCCCACUACCAGGACUUCAUCCGCGCCGUCGACGACCUCCGCUCCCUCCUCUCCGACGUGGACUCCCUCAAAUCCGCCCUCUCCGACUCCAACGCCGCCCUCCAGUCCGCCGCCGGCCCCCUCCUGUCCUCCCUCGAUGCUUAUUUAGAAGCGCGCGCCGUCGCUCGCAACCUCUCCGCCGCCCUCGCCGCCACCCGCCUCUGCGUUCGCGUCCUCGAGCUCCUCGCCCGCGCCAACGCCCACCUCGCCGCCGACGACCUCUACCUCGCUCUCCGCCCCGUCGACGCCGUCGAGCGCGACUUCCUCGACGCCGCCCCCCACCCCACCAUACGCCGCAUGCUCCUCCACCUCAUCCCCGCCAUCCGCUCCCACGCCGAGCGCAAGAUCGCCAAGGAGUUCUCCGAUUGGAUGGUCCAGAUCCGCGUCGCCAGCCGCCACCUCGGCCAGGUCGCCAUCGGCCGCGCCUCCGCCGCCCGCCAGCGCGAGGAGGAGCUCCGCAUCAGGCAGCGCCAGGCCGAGGAGCAGUCCCGCCUCUCUCUCCGCGACGCCAACUCCUCAUCCAUCUAUUCCCUCGAAGAAGACGACGACUCCGACGACCUUGCCGCCGCCAUCGCCGCCGCAAGCGGCAGCGGCGCUGCUGUCGACGGCAUUUUAGGUUUCGAUCUCACCCCGCUCUACCGCGCCUACCACAUCCACCAGACCCUCGGCCUUCAAGAUCGAUUCAAGCAGUACUACUUCGAGAACCGCAAGCUCCAGCUCACCUCUGACUUCCAAGUCUCCUCCAUGACCCCAUUUCUCGAAUCACACCAGACCUUCUUCGCCCAGAUCGCUGGAUUCUUCAUCGUCGAGGACCGGAUCCUGCGAACUGGCGGCGGAUUGAUCUCCCGGUCCGAUGUCGACGCUCUCUGGGAGACUGCAAUCGCCAAGAUGGUCUCUGUCCUCGAGGAUCAGUUCUCCCGGAUGCAGACCGCCAACCACUUGCUCUUGAUCAAGGAUUAUGUGAGCCUCCUCGGCGUUACUCUCCGGCGAUAUGGCUACACCGUCGAUCCGCUCCUUGACGUUCUGUCGACGCACCGGGACAAGUACCAUGACCUCCUACUAUCCGACUGCCGCCGCCAGGUGUCCGAGGCCCUCGCGGCCGACAAAUUCGAGCAGAUGCUCAUGAAGAAGGAGUAUGAGUACUCGAUGAACGUUCUGUCAUUCCAGAUUCAGACCUCCGACAUCACCCCUGCAUUCCCUUAUGUCGCUCCAUUCUCAUCCACUGUCCCUGACCUCUGUCGAAUCGUCCGGUCGUUCAUCGAGGACUCGGUCAGUUUCAUGUCACAUGGUGGCCAGCUUGAUUUCUACCCUAUUGUCAAGAAGUAUCUCGACCGCCUUCUUGGGGAGGUUGUCGAUGGUGCCAUCCUGCGCCUUGUUGAGGCUGGAGGCCUCGGUGUGUCCCAGGCCAUGCAGGUAGCUGCCAACAUGGCUGUGAUGGAGCGGGCCUGUGACUUCUUCUUCCGCCAUGCUGCACAGCUCUCUGGCAUCCCCCUCCGCAUUGCCGAGAGGGGGAGGAGGGAGUUCCCAUUGAAAAGGUCUCGGGAUGCGGCCGAGGAGCUUUUGCUGCGCUUGCUCCAGGCCAAGCUUGAUGAUUUUAUGAUCUUGACAGACACUGUGAGUUGGAUGGCUGACGACCCGCCACCAAACGGGAAUGAGUAUGCAAAUGAGGUAAUUAUAUACCUUGAGACAUUGGUCUCCACUGCACAGCAGAUACUGCCCAUCCAAGUCCUCCGGCGGGUGCUUCAUGGGGUCCUCACCCAUGUAUCUGAAAAGAUUGUGGGGCUUUUCCUUAGUGAUUCGGUCAAGAGGUUUAAUGCAAAUGCUGUGACAGGGAUAGAUGCUGACUUGAGGCUCUUUGAAUCAUUUGCUGAUAACCAAUCCCAUUUGUUUGGAGAUACUGAGGACCUGGGUGCAAAUGAACUGAAAAUGGCUUUGGUGGAAGCAAGGCAAUUGGUUAAUUUGCUCAUGAGCAACCACCCAGAGAAUUUCCUGAACCCAGUGAUCCGGGAGAAGAGUUACAAUAAGCUGGACUACAAGAAGGUAGCCACAAUAUCUGAGAAGUUCAGAGAUUCAUCAGAUAGGCUGUUCUCCACAUUUGGUACAAGGGGUUCGAAACAGAAUCCAAAGAAGAAAUCAUUGGAUGCCUUGAUAAAGAGGCUCAAGGAUGUGAGCUGAAGCAGCUGCUUCAAUAUAGUAAGGAGCAUCUCUUUCGCCUUAUUAUGUUGAUCCUUUCAGUGAGCCAAAACAGAUUCUGAGCCCUUGUUUGAACCGUCCUCAAAAACUAAUCAAAAGCAAAAACCUGAUGAGGGGAGAUGGUUAUCUUGGUGGAAGAAGAGGAGCUUGGUGGUGGAGGGAAGGUUGAAAAAAGCAGUCUAGGCGAACACGAGCACACAAGCUCGUGAUGCAUUUUAAGAAGCAGAGUUUAAUGAUUUGAAGGGAGAGAGUUGUAGUACAAUUUUUACAGAUCAGUAUAGAUGGUUUUCAAUCCCAUAAAGUAACUUUAAAACUUAGUGCAAAUUUUUCUUUCAAAAGCUAUUCAUACUCAUAAUUAUUGUAGGGUAGCAUUUUUCUUGCAAAUCAUAUAGUUUUCCAUCUGAAGACAAAUGUGAUAGGCCCGAAGACACCAACUCAUGCCCUUUAACAUAGCAUGAAUCAUUAUACAGUUAAGUAGUCAUGGUUAUGUUGUAACAUUUUAGGGAGCUGAUAUAUGGCUAAUUGUCUAAAAAUUUCUUAUAUAUGAUUAUAUUUAUGUAUCUUA